UCCCCUUUGGCUCAGACAGUAAAGAAUCUGCCUAUAAUGCAGGAGACCCAGGUUCGAUCCCUGGGUUGGGAA
This 72-nucleotide transfer RNA is filed under the name Capra hircus (goat). It matches the Rfam family "tRNA". From Rfam's summary of the family: Transfer RNA (tRNA) molecules are approximately 80 nucleotides in length. Their secondary structure includes four short double-helical elements and three loops (D, anti-codon, and T loops). Further hydrogen bonds mediate the characteristic L-shaped molecular structure. tRNAs have two regions of fundamental functional importance: the anti-codon, which is responsible for specific mRNA codon recognition, and the 3' end, to which the tRNAs corresponding amino acid is attached (by aminoacyl-tRNA synthetases). tRNAs cope with the degeneracy of the genetic code in two manners: having more than one tRNA (with a specific anti-codon) for a particular amino acid; and 'wobble' base-pairing, i.e. permitting non-standard base-pairing at the 3rd anti-codon position. RNAcentral also lists the same sequence under 1 other name. Lineage: Eukaryota; Metazoa; Chordata; Mammalia; Artiodactyla; Bovidae. The record is from Rfam by way of RNAcentral.